RNAcentral lists this transfer RNA (72 nucleotides) under Bacteriophage sp. RNAcentral's name for it is "tRNA-Gln". It matches the Rfam family "tRNA". From Rfam's summary of the family: Transfer RNA (tRNA) molecules are approximately 80 nucleotides in length. Their secondary structure includes four short double-helical elements and three loops (D, anti-codon, and T loops). The record is from RNAcentral.
UGGGGUGUAGCCAAGCGGCAAGGCACGGGACCUUGACUCCUGCAUUCGCCGGUUCGAUUCCGGCCAUCCUAG